This 253-nucleotide ribosomal RNA is filed under the name uncultured bacterium. RNAcentral's name for it is "partial 16S ribosomal RNA". It matches the Rfam family "Bacterial small subunit ribosomal RNA", at positions 524 to 776 of the family's 1533-position model. The record is from RNAcentral.
GACGUAGGGCGCGAGCGUUGUCCGGAUUUAUUGGGCGUAAAGAGCUCGUAGGCGGCUUGUCGCGUCGAAUGUGAAAACUCGGGGCUCAACUCCGAGCUUGCAUUCGAUACGGGCAGGCUAGAGUUCGGUAGGGGAGACUGGAAUUCCUGGUGUAGCGGUGAAAUGCGCAGAUAUCAGGAAGAACACCCGUGGCUAAGGCGGCUCUCUAGUACGGUACUGACGCUGAGACGCGAAAGCGUGGGGAGCGAACAGG